ACGUCSUGCGGSCUUUUAUCACAAACAUGGCUCCUWGUAGUGAUGAGAUAAGGAGUCGGACCUGCCCGGUGAAGUUUUUUAACGGCCGCGGUACUCUGACCGUGCAAAGGUAGCAUAAUCAUUUGCCUUAUAAUUGAAGGCUAGUAUGAAUGGUUUGACAAGAAUAUGGCUGUCUCUUCAUGAUUUGGUAGAAUUUUAUUUUUAGGUGAAAAAGCCUUAAUUUGAUUAAUAGACAAGAAGACCCUAUCGAGCUUAAAAGAAUUUGACGGGCUUUUAGGUGGCUUAUUAGUUUAAAAGGCAUGGCUGUCAAAAUUUUUGGUUGGGGCGACUGAGGAACAAUAGGAGCUUCCUUUAUAUAAAUUUACAUACGAGUGUUGAUCCAAGAUUAGUGAUUAAAGGAAUUAGUUACCGUAGGGAUAACAGCAUUAUCCUUUUUGAGAGUUCUUAUCGAAAAAAGGGUUUGUGACCUCGAUGUUGGACCAGAAUGUCCUAAAGAUGCAGAAGUCUUUAAGGGUUGGUCUGUUCGACCAUUAAAAUUCUACGUGAUC
This 548-nucleotide ribosomal RNA is filed under the name Oxymeris strigata. RNAcentral describes it as "partial 16S ribosomal RNA". It matches the Rfam family "Bacterial large subunit ribosomal RNA", at positions 1783 to 2605 of the family's 2925-position model. Lineage: Eukaryota; Metazoa; Mollusca; Gastropoda; Neogastropoda; Terebridae. The record is from RNAcentral.